RNAcentral lists this ribosomal RNA (434 nucleotides) under uncultured bacterium. RNAcentral's name for it is "partial 16S ribosomal RNA". It matches the Rfam family "Bacterial small subunit ribosomal RNA", at positions 29 to 507 of the family's 1533-position model. The record is from RNAcentral.
AGCGAACGCUGGCCGCAGGCCUAACACAUGCAAGUCGAACGAACCUUUCGGGGUUAGUGGCGGACGGGUGAGUAACACGUGGGAACGUGCCUUUAGGUUCGGAAUAACUCAGGGAAACUUGUGCUAAUACCGAAUGUGCCCUUCUGGGGAAAGAUUUAUCGCCUUUAGAGCGGCCCGCGUCUGAUUAGCUAGUUGGUUGAGGUAAUGGCUCACCAAGGCGACGAUCAGUAGCUGGUCUGAGAGGAUGAUCAGCCACAUUGGGACUGAGACACGGCCCAAACUCCUACGGGAGGCAGCAGUGGGGAAUCUUGCGCAAUGGGCGAAAGCCUGACGCAGCCAUGCCGCGUGAAUGAUGAAGGUCUUAGGAUUGUAAAAUUCUUUCACCGGGGACGAUAAUGACGGUACCCGGAGAAGAAGCCCCGGCUAACUUCGUG